CUGUUCUGAGGCAGCAGCAGCACAUAGACCAGUGAGUCUCCCCUCAUCCUGUCGGGCUCGCCUCACCUUGCACAGCCCUGAAAUUGAAGAAGACGUUUUCCACCUGGUGGCAGACCUGAAACAUGCUUCUCUCCAGCCUUCUGAAGGUGGCCAUGGCUUCAUGCUGGCUAGGAUCCAGCAUUGCCCAGAAGGUAACUCAAGAGCAACCACCAAUGUUAGCGCAGGAGAAGGAGGCUGUGACCCUGAACUGCACAUACGACACCAGUGAUCCAACUUAUAGUUUAUUCUGGUACAAGCAGCCCAGCAGUGGGGCGAUGACUUUCCUAAUUCGUCAGGACACUUAUAACCAGCAAAACGCCAAAGAAGGUCGCUACUCAUUGAAUUUCCAGAAGGCAAGCAAAUCCAUCAAACUCGUCAUCUCAGCCUCACAGCUGGAGGACUCUGCAGUGUAUUUCUGUGCACUGAGUGAGCCCACAGUGCGAGGUGUGUUGGAGGGAGGUGUACCAAAACCCAGGGCUCUGCUUGGUCCAUCCACCUGCUGUAGGGACCAGGCCAGGGUAUUGCGAUCACAGACAGGAAGUGGCGAGGGCUGUGGCAGCACAGGUGUAGGGUUAGAGGGAAGACACUCAUUCUAA
Vicugna pacos (alpaca) is the source of this 635-nucleotide non-coding RNA. The record is from the annotation of a RefSeq genome assembly. NCBI's taxonomy places the organism in Eukaryota, Metazoa, Chordata, Mammalia, Artiodactyla, Camelidae.